RNAcentral lists this ribosomal RNA (2523 nucleotides) under Chaetoceros debilis. Its description in RNAcentral is "partial Eukaryotic large subunit ribosomal RNA". The record is from RNAcentral. Lineage: Eukaryota; Bacillariophyta; Thalassiosirophyceae; Chaetocerotales; Chaetocerotaceae.
GCAGCUAUCCUGAGGGAAAUUUCGGAGGGAACCAGCUACUAGAUGAUUCGAUUAGUCUUUCGCCCCUAUACUCAAUUUUUACGACCGAUUUGCACGUCAGGACCGCUACGAGCCUCCACCACCGUUUCCGGUGGCUUCACCCUAAUCAAGCAUAGUUCACCAUCUUUCGGGUCCCAGCAUUUAUGCUCACACUCAGACCUUUCAACCGAAGUUUUGUGGCCGGCGGAUGAUGCAAAAAAAUAUCACCACUGUUACUUUCAUUACGCGUAUGAUGUUAAAAAUCAGACACUCGCACAGAUGCUAGACUCCUUGGUCCGUGUUUCAAGACGGGGUGUACAAAAACAUUUCGACAACAACACGAAGACUAGCCUCAAUCCAGACCAAAACGAGACAAGCUGGUAAUCCACGAAAAGACGUGUGCCUCCCAGCCAUACUUAUGCUUCGAUCCAAACCCUUGUUGACAAACUCUGCAUCACAGCGCCUCAAUGACAAGUCAGUGAGGAAAGAUGAUACAGCGAAACACUGUUUUUGUACGCUUCCCUUUCAACGAUUUCGAGUACUCUUUAACUCUCUUUUCAAAGUUCUUUGCAACUUUCAUUCACAUUACUUGUUCGCUAUCGGUUUCCCACCAAUAUUUAGUUUUAUGACAAAUUUACGUCACACUUUGAUCAGCAAUCCCAAGCUAAUCGACUCGUCGAAGGUGUAUGCCAUGGACAAGAACUUUAAACAUGAACGGUGGUCUCAACCUCUUCGCCUAUACGUUCCAGUAUAAUUAGUAAAAAGCCUCGUCCGACACAUCUUCUAUAGGCCACAACUCGGUACUAGGUACCGAUUCACAGGCUGAACUAGAUCCAGUUUCACUCGCCGUUACUAAUGGAAUCAUUGUUAUUUUCUUUUCCUCCGCUUAAUUAUAUGCUUAAAUUCGGCGGGUAAUCUUACCAAGCUGAGAUUCGAUUGUAGAACUAAUGAUUCAACACAGCUUUCACUGUAGUAAAUCACGCCACAGGAAUGCGGGUGGGUCUUGCUCAGAAGGCACAACAUAAUCCUAUUUGCAGAUAGCAAAUUUACCAUAUGUCGGCUCCUUUAACACAAGACACACUUGCUUUCCAGACGCAAGGUGCAAUGCACAAGGCAUAGCCACUCACUUUAGCUAUGCUGUAAGCCUAGGCCACAGCAAAGCCACAAUCAGACACUCAAAAAAGAGGUCUAGUGGGGUUCACGAACACUCAACACGGCAUGAUACCAGGAAUGUCCCGGUAUCGCAAGGUGCGUUCAAAAUUUUGAUGAUUCACGAGGUCCUGCAAUUCGCAUUACGUAUCGCAUUUCGCUGCGUUCUUCAUCGUUGUGGGAACCAAGUUGUCCAUCGUUGAAAGUUGUUUUUCAUUAAUAGAUUAGCAAGGAAUGUCCAGCGACGCAAAAGCAUCAAGCCAGCCAUAUCCUUGUUUUGGAUUCAGUUAAUUGUUUUAUUAGGUAUUGGGCGGCGAGGCACCGAAGUGCCCCGCCUGAGGCUUUCGCCUCUUGUUUUUUUGUAAAAUAAUCACAGGUACCACCACAAUGUGCCAUGAUAGACAAUUUGUAGUGAUGCACUGCUUGUUCUCGGGAGUUUAGAUCGGAGAUCUGAUGUGAUAAUGAUCCCUCCGCAGGUUCACCUACGGAGACCUUGUUACGACUUCACCUUCCUCUAAAAAACAAGGUUCAGAAAGGUUCUCACGGCAAUGUCCAAUAAAGGACAACGCUACGAUCUCGAUUCUUCACCGGGCUUUUCAAUCGGUAGGUGCGACGGGCGGUGUGUACAAAGGGCAGGGACGUAAUCAAUGCAUUUUGAUGAAAUGCGUUUACUAGGAAUUCCUCGUUCACGAUAACAAUUGCAGCUAUCGAUCCCUUUCAAGGCACACUUUAGAAGAUUUCCCAGACCUCUCGGGCAAGGAUAAGCUCGUUGAAUGUGCCAUUGUAACACGCGUGCGGUUCAGAACAUCUAAGGGCAUCACAGACCUGUUAUCGCCCUCAUCUUCCUGUAGCUUAAUGCUACAUGUCCCUCUAAGAAACCGUAAUCUAUCAAAUUGAUAAAAUCGAUUAUUUAGCAGGCGAGGGUCUCGUUCGUUAACGGAAUAAACCAGACAAAUCACUCCACCAACUAAGAACGGCCAUGCACCACCUCCCAAAGAAUCAAGAAAGAGCUCUCAAUCUGUCAAUCCUCACUUUGUCUGGACCUGAUAAGUUUUCCCGUGUUGAGUCAAAUUAAGCCGCAGGUUCCACUCCUGGUGGUGCCCUUCCGUCAAUUUCUUUAAGUUUCAGCCUUGCGACCAUACUCCCCCCGGAACCCAAAGACUUUGAUUUCUCCUACAGUUCAGUCUAUCGUUAAAUCGACAGACCACCCUGAGUCGGCAUAGUUUAUGGUAUAGACUACGAUGGUAUCUAAUCAUCUUCGAUCCCCAUACUUUCGUUCUUGAUUAAUGAAAACAUCCUUGGUAAAUGCUUUCGCAGUCGUUCGUCUUACGAUAAUCUAAGAAUUUCACCUCUGAC